RNAcentral lists this ribosomal RNA (2906 nucleotides) under Escherichia coli. Its description in RNAcentral is "23S ribosomal RNA". It matches the Rfam family "Bacterial large subunit ribosomal RNA". The record is from RNAcentral. Lineage: Bacteria; Pseudomonadati; Pseudomonadota; Gammaproteobacteria; Enterobacterales; Enterobacteriaceae.
GGUUAAGCGACUAAGCGUACACGGUGGAUGCCCUGGCAGUCAGAGGCGAUGAAGGACGUGCUAAUCUGCGAUAAGCGUCGGUAAGGUGAUAUGAACCGUUAUAACCGGCGAUUUCCGAAUGGGGAAACCCAGUGUGUUUCGACACACUAUCAUUAACUGAAUCCAUAGGUUAAUGAGGCGAACCGGGGGAACUGAAACAUCUAAGUACCCCGAGGAAAAGAAAUCAACCGAGAUUCCCCCAGUAGCGGCGAGCGAACGGGGAGCAGCCCAGAGCCUGAAUCAGUGUGUGUGUUAGUGGAAGCGUCUGGAAAGGCGCGCGAUACAGGGUGACAGCCCCGUACACAAAAAUGCACAUGCUGUGAGCUCGAUGAGUAGGGCGGGACACGUGGUAUCCUGUCUGAAUAUGGGGGGACCAUCCUCCAAGGCUAAAUACUCCUGACUGACCGAUAGUGAACCAGUACCGUGAGGGAAAGGCGAAAAGAACCCCGGCGAGGGGAGUGAAAAAGAACCUGAAACCGUGUACGUACAAGCAGUGGGAGCACGCUUAGGCGUGUGACUGCGUACCUUUUGUAUAAUGGGUCAGCGACUUAUAUUCUGUAGCAAGGUUAACCGAAUAGGGGAGCCGAAGGGAAACCGAGUCUUAACUGGGCGUUAAGUUGCAGGGUAUAGACCCGAAACCCGGUGAUCUAGCCAUGGGCAGGUUGAAGGUUGGGUAACACUAACUGGAGGACCGAACCGACUAAUGUUGAAAAAUUAGCGGAUGACUUGUGGCUGGGGGUGAAAGGCCAAUCAAACCGGGAGAUAGCUGGUUCUCCCCGAAAGCUAUUUAGGUAGCGCCUCGUGAAUUCAUCUCCGGGGGUAGAGCACUGUUUCGGCAAGGGGGUCAUCCCGACUUACCAACCCGAUGCAAACUGCGAAUACCGGAGAAUGUUAUCACGGGAGACACACGGCGGGUGCUAACGUCCGUCGUGAAGAGGGAAACAACCCAGACCGCCAGCUAAGGUCCCAAAGUCAUGGUUAAGUGGGAAACGAUGUGGGAAGGCCCAGACAGCCAGGAUGUUGGCUUAGAAGCAGCCAUCAUUUAAAGAAAGCGUAAUAGCUCACUGGUCGAGUCGGCCUGCGCGGAAGAUGUAACGGGGCUAAACCAUGCACCGAAGCUGCGGCAGCGACGCUUAUGCGUUGUUGGGUAGGGGAGCGUUCUGUAAGCCUGCGAAGGUGUGCUGUGAGGCAUGCUGGAGGUAUCAGAAGUGCGAAUGCUGACAUAAGUAACGAUAAAGCGGGUGAAAAGCCCGCUCGCCGGAAGACCAAGGGUUCCUGUCCAACGUUAAUCGGGGCAGGGUGAGUCGACCCCUAAGGCGAGGCCGAAAGGCGUAGUCGAUGGGAAACAGGUUAAUAUUCCUGUACUUGGUGUUACUGCGAAGGGGGGACGGAGAAGGCUAUGUUGGCCGGGCGACGGUUGUCCCGGUUUAAGCGUGUAGGCUGGUUUUCCAGGCAAAUCCGGAAAAUCAAGGCUGAGGCGUGAUGACGAGGCACUACGGUGCUGAAGCAACAAAUGCCCUGCUUCCAGGAAAAGCCUCUAAGCAUCAGGUAACAUCAAAUCGUACCCCAAACCGACACAGGUGGUCAGGUAGAGAAUACCAAGGCGCUUGAGAGAACUCGGGUGAAGGAACUAGGCAAAAUGGUGCCGUAACUUCGGGAGAAGGCACGCUGAUAUGUAGGUGAAGUCCCUCGCGGAUGGAGCUGAAAUCAGUCGAAGAUACCAGCUGGCUGCAACUGUUUAUUAAAAACACAGCACUGUGCAAACACGAAAGUGGACGUAUACGGUGUGACGCCUGCCCGGUGCCGGAAGGUUAAUUGAUGGGGUUAGCCGCAAGGCGAAGCUCUUGAUCGAAGCCCCGGUAAACGGCGGCCGUAACUAUAACGGUCCUAAGGUAGCGAAAUUCCUUGUCGGGUAAGUUCCGACCUGCACGAAUGGCGUAAUGAUGGCCAGGCUGUCUCCACCCGAGACUCAGUGAAAUUGAACUCGCUGUGAAGAUGCAGUGUACCCGCGGCAAGACGGAAAGACCCCGUGAACCUUUACUAUAGCUUGACACUGAACAUUGAGCCUUGAUGUGUAGGAUAGGUGGGAGGCUUAGAAGUGUGGACGCCAGUCUGCAUGGAGCCGACCUUGAAAUACCACCCUUUAAUGUUUGAUGUUCUAACGUUGACCCGUAAUCCGGGUUGCGGACAGUGUCUGGUGGGUAGUUUGACUGGGGCGGUCUCCUCCUAAAGAGUAACGGAGGAGCACGAAGGUUGGCUAAUCCUGGUCGGACAUCAGGAGGUUAGUGCAAUGGCAUAAGCCAGCUUGACUGCGAGCGUGACGGCGCGAGCAGGUGCGAAAGCAGGUCAUAGUGAUCCGGUGGUUCUGAAUGGAAGGGCCAUCGCUCAACGGAUAAAAGGUACUCCGGGGAUAACAGGCUGAUACCGCCCAAGAGUUCAUAUCGACGGCGGUGUUUGGCACCUCGAUGUCGGCUCAUCACAUCCUGGGGCUGAAGUAGGUCCCAAGGGUAUGGCUGUUCGCCAUUUAAAGUGGUACGCGAGCUGGGUUUAGAACGUCGUGAGACAGUUCGGUCCCUAUCUGCCGUGGGCGCUGGAGAACUGAGGGGGGCUGCUCCUAGUACGAGAGGACCGGAGUGGACGCAUCACUGGUGUUCGGGUUGUCAUGCCAAUGGCACUGCCCGGUAGCUAAAUGCGGAAGAGAUAAGUGCUGAAAGCAUCUAAGCACGAAACUUGCCCCGAGAUGAGUUCUCCCUGACCCUUUAAGGGUCCUGAAGGAACGUUGAAGACGACGACGUUGAUAGGCCGGGUGUGUAAGCGCAGCGAUGCGUUGAGCUAACCGGUACUAAUGAACCGUGAGGCUUAACCUU